GGAAUUUUUACGGCGGCCCUGUCCUUUCUCUGUCCCCUUCCAUCAUGUGACGUGUUUCACUGUUCAGUCCGAAUUUCCUGUGAUGUAGGUGUUAGUCCUGGAACAGCUCCAAUGUACCAUAGCACAAACCUGAAAUUGUUGGAUAAGAGGAUCAAGAUAGCUGAGUUGGUGUUAAGGUUUAUGAUUCUUGGUCUUGGAGUUGUUGCAGCUGUUCUUAUGGAACUGAUUCACAAGUGAAGGUGUUUUUCUCCUUUGAGAAGGAAGCUAAAUUCACUGAUGUUAAGGCUUUGGUAUUCUUGGUAGUUGCUAAUGGUUUG
Arachis stenosperma is the source of this 317-nucleotide long non-coding RNA. RefSeq lists it as uncharacterized. NCBI's taxonomy places the organism in Eukaryota, Viridiplantae, Streptophyta, Magnoliopsida, Fabales, Fabaceae. The transcript has 3 exons. The record is from RefSeq and is a predicted model, not a curated record.